CCUUGAUUUAGCGGCGGACGGGUGAGUAAUGCCUAGGAAUCUGCCUGGUAGUGGGGGAUAACGUUCCGAAAGGAACGCUAAUACCGCAUACGUCCUACGGGAGAAAGCAGGGGACCUUCGGGCCUUGCGCUAUCAGAUGAGCCUAGGUCGGAUUAGCUAGUUGGUGAGGUAAUGGCUCACCAAGGCGACGAUCCGUAACUGGUCUGAGAGGAUGAUCAGUCACACUGGAACUGAGACACGGUCCAGACUCCUACGGGAGGCAGCAGUGGGGAAUAUUGGACAAUGGGCGAAAGCCUGAUCCAGCCAUGCCGCGUGUGUGAAGAAGGUCUUCGGAUUGUAAAGCACUUUAAGUUGGGAGGAAGGGCAUUAACCUAAUACGUUAGUGUUUUGACGUUACCGACAGAAUAAGCACCGGCUAACUUCGUGCCAGCAGCCGCGGUAAUACGAAGGGUGCAAGCGUUAAUCGGAAUUACUGGGCGUAAAGCGCGCGUAGGUGGUUCGUUAAGUUGGAUGUGAAAGCCCCGGGCUCAACCUGGGAACUGCAUCCAAAACUGGCGAGCUAGAGUACGGUAGAGGGUGGUGGAAUUUCCUGUGUAGCG
Molecule: ribosomal RNA, 599 nt
Filed under: Psychrobacter okhotskensis
Lineage: Bacteria; Pseudomonadati; Pseudomonadota; Gammaproteobacteria; Moraxellales; Moraxellaceae
Description: bacterial SSU rRNA
Rfam family: Bacterial small subunit ribosomal RNA
Source: RNAcentral